GUGAGGAAUAUUGCGCAAUGGAGGCAACUCUGACGCAGCCAUGCCGCGUGCAGGAAGAAGGCGCUACGCGUUGUAAACUGCUUUUAACCGGGAAGAAACCCCAGGACGUGUCCUGGGUUGACGGUACCGGAGGAAUAAGCACCGGCUAACUUCGUGCCAGCAGCCGCGGUAAUACGAAGGGUGCAAGCGUUAUCCGGAUUCAUUGGGUUUAAAGGGUGCGUAGGAGGAGCGUUAAGUCAGUGGUGAAAUCCUGCAGCUUAACUGUAGACUUGCCAUUGAUACUGGCGCUCUUGAGUGCGCUUGAAGUGGGCGGAAUGUGCCGUUUAGCGGUGAAAUGCUUAGAUAUGGCACAGAACACCAAUUGCGAAGGCAGCCCACUAAGGCGAUACUGACGCUGAGGCACGAAAGCGUGGGGAUCGAACAGGAUUAGAAACCCGUGUAGUCC
This 445-nucleotide ribosomal RNA is filed under the name uncultured bacterium. RNAcentral describes it as "partial 16S ribosomal RNA". It matches the Rfam family "Bacterial small subunit ribosomal RNA", at positions 354 to 796 of the family's 1533-position model. The record is from RNAcentral.